This 160-nucleotide microRNA precursor is filed under the name Cucumis melo (muskmelon). RNAcentral's name for it is "miR530a stem-loop (cme-MIR530a)". Its record names the gene cme-MIR530a. The record is from miRBase by way of RNAcentral. Lineage: Eukaryota; Viridiplantae; Streptophyta; Magnoliopsida; Cucurbitales; Cucurbitaceae.
CCCUUCAUCUGCAUUUGCACCUGCACCUUAUUCAACUUCUCUCUUCUCUCUCCACCAACGAUAUAGAAGAACAUGAGUAUGAAGAACAAAAGGUGAGAGAAAAAAAGGAUCAAUAAUUCAAAGGUGCUGGUGCAUUUGCAGCUGAAUGCCAUCUUGGAAA